GGGGGAUUAGCUCAGUGGUAGAGCAUCUGAUUUGCAUUCAGAGGGUCAGGAGUUCGACUCUCCUAUCCUCCA
This 72-nucleotide transfer RNA is filed under the name Chlamydiia bacterium. RNAcentral's name for it is "tRNA-Ala". It matches the Rfam family "tRNA". Rfam says of the family: Transfer RNA (tRNA) molecules are approximately 80 nucleotides in length. Their secondary structure includes four short double-helical elements and three loops (D, anti-codon, and T loops). The record is from RNAcentral. Lineage: Bacteria; Pseudomonadati; Chlamydiota; Chlamydiia.